RNAcentral lists this ribosomal RNA (346 nucleotides) under uncultured bacterium. RNAcentral describes it as "partial 16S ribosomal RNA". It matches the Rfam family "Bacterial small subunit ribosomal RNA", at positions 338 to 681 of the family's 1533-position model. The record is from RNAcentral.
CCUACGGGAGGCAGCAGUGAGGAAUAUUGGUCAAUGGGCGCGAGCCUGAACCAGCCAAGUAGCGUGAAGGAUGAAGGCCCUACGGGUUGUAAACUUCUUUUAUAAAGGAAUAAAGUGAGGCACGUGUGCAUUUUUGUAUGUACGUUAUGAAUAAAGAACGGCUAACUCCGUGCCAGCAGCCGCGGUAAUACGGAGGCUCCGAGCGUUAUCCGGAUUUAGUGGGUUUAAAGGGAGCGUAGAUGGGUUGUUAAGUCAGUUGUGACAGUUUGCGGCUCAACCGUAAAAUUGCAAUUGAUACUGGCAGCCUUGAUUUCAGUUGAGGUAGGCGGAAUUCGUGGUGUAGCGG